ACAUCCAGAGAAUUUAGCAGAGAUGCUUUAGUGCCUUCGGGAACUCUGAGACAGGUGCUGCAUGGCUGUCGUCAGCUCGUGUUGUGAAAGUGUUGGGUUAAGUCCCGCAACGAGCGCAACCCUUUAUCCUUUGUUGCCAGCACGUAAUGGUGGGAACUCAAAGGAGACUGCCGGUGAUAAACCGGAGGAAGGUGGGGAUGACGUCAAGUCAUCAUGGCCCUUACGAGUAGGGCUACACACGUGCUACAAUGGCGCAUACAAAGAGAAGCGACCUCGCGAGAGCAAGCGGACCUCAUAAAGUGCGUCGUAGUCCGGAUUGGAGUCUGCAACUCGACUCCAUGAAGUCGGAAUCGCUAGUAAUCGUAAAUCAGAAUGUUACGGUGAAUACGUUCCCGGGCCUUGUACACACCGCCCGUCACACCAUGGGAGUGGGUUGCAAAAGAAGUAGAUAGCUUAACCUUCGGGAGGGCGUUUACCACUUUGUGAUUCAUGACUGGGGUGAAGUCGUAACAAGGUAGGCGUAGUGCU
RNAcentral lists this ribosomal RNA (528 nucleotides) under uncultured bacterium. Its description in RNAcentral is "bacterial SSU rRNA". It matches the Rfam family "Bacterial small subunit ribosomal RNA", at positions 984 to 1509 of the family's 1533-position model. The record is from RNAcentral.